UACGUAGGGUGCGAGCGUUGUCCGGAAUUAUUGGGCGUAAAGAGCUCGUAGGCGGUCUGUCGCGUCUGCUGUGAAAACCCGCAGCUCAACUGUGGGCUUGCAGCCGAUACGGGCGGGCUGGAGUUCGGUAGGGGAGACUGGAAUUCCUGGUGUAGCGGUGAAAUGCGCAGAUAUCAGGAGGAACACCGGUGGCGAAGGCGGGUCUCUGGGCCGAUACUGACGCUGAGGAGCGAAAGCGUGGGGAGCGAACAGG
Molecule: ribosomal RNA, 253 nt
Filed under: uncultured bacterium
Lineage: Bacteria
Description: partial 16S ribosomal RNA
Rfam family: Bacterial small subunit ribosomal RNA
Source: RNAcentral